AUUGAACGCUGGCGGCAGGCCUAACACAUGCAAGUCGAGCGGAUGAAGGGAGCUUGCUCCUGGAUUCAGCGGCGGACGGGUGAGUAAUGCCUAGGAAUCUGCCUGGUAGUGGGGGAUAACGUCCGGAAACGGGCGCUAAUACCGCAUACGUCCUGAGGGAGAAAGUGGGGGAUCUUCGGACCUCACGCUAUCAGAUGAGCCUAGGUCGGAUUAGCUAGUUGGUGGGGUAAAGGCCUACCAAGGCGACGAUCCGUAACUGGUCUGAGAGGAUGAUCAGUCACACGGGAACUGGGACCCGGUCCAGCCCCCUACGGGAGGCAGCAGUGGGGAAUUUUGGACAAUGGGCGAAAGCCUGAUCCCGCCAUGCCGGGGGUGUGAAGAAGGUUUUCGGUUUGUAAAGCACUUUAAGUUGGGAGGAAGGGCAUUAAGUUAAAACCUUGCUGUUUUGACGUUACCAACAAAAUAAGCACCGGCUAACUUCGU
Molecule: ribosomal RNA, 483 nt
Filed under: uncultured bacterium
Lineage: Bacteria
Description: partial 16S ribosomal RNA
Rfam family: Bacterial small subunit ribosomal RNA
Source: RNAcentral